UAAAGUAUCCAUAGAAAUAUAUAUAAAGCAUAUGUCACUUAAAUACUCUACAGAACAAUAUUAAACAACGCGCUGAUAUUUCGGUAAUUUCAUGGAAUUAGGCUUAACAUCGAAAAACCCUCCGGCCCUGGGGAGACACACGCUAGAGAGACUGCCGGCCUCAGCGGUAAGCGCGCUUUCGCGCUUUGCGUCGCGAAAGGGUUAAAUUCAAGUUUAAAUAGUAACU
Molecule: non-coding RNA, 226 nt
Organism: Parasteatoda tepidariorum (common house spider)
Lineage: Eukaryota; Metazoa; Arthropoda; Arachnida; Araneae; Theridiidae
Source: RefSeq, a predicted model, not a curated record